UUUAUGAUAUUGUGGGCAUUGUAUUCACACUAGAGGGUAUUAGAGUUAACUAGUGGAUGAAGACGUUUUGGGCUAGCUAAUGACCUUUUGUGAUACCAGGUUUCCGAUAAUCCCGUCUAUUCAUGGCAUCCUUAGAUGGUGUUUAUGUCCACUCAAGUAAAACACCACACAAAAAUAGUGUUUCUAUGAUAUUGAGGCAUUGUAUUCGCACGAGAGGGUAUUAGAGUACAACUAGUGGAUGAAGACAUUAGUGGGCUAGCUAAUGACCUUUUGUGAUAAUAGUUAACUAUAAUCCUGUCUAUUCAUGGCAUCCUUAGAUUGUGUUUAUGUCCACUCAAGUAAAACAACACAUCAAUACCACAUCGUUCUCAAAUAAAAUAAAGACUAUGGAAAUUUAUCCAAAUUGCGUGAGUGAACUGUCAAACAUAGGUUAAGGUUGUAAGACAACUUUUUCCACCAUACAGUUGCUAAAAAGUUGGAAUACAAAGAAUUCAAACAAUAAAUCACCUUUUAACCUCAAAUGACGUUUCUAUGAUAUUGUGGGCAUUGUAUUCACACAGAGGGUAUUAGGUACAACUAGUGGAUGAAGACGUUAUUGGGCUAGCUAUGACCUUUUGUGUACCUGGUUUCCAUAUCCCGUCUAUUCAUGGCACCUUAUGGUGUUUAUUCCACUCAAGUAAAACACACACAAAAAUAGUGUUUCUAUGAUAUUGAGGGCAUUGUAUUCGCAAGAGAGGGUAUUAGAGUACAACUAGUGGAUGAAGACGUUAUUGGGCUAGCCAAUGACUUUUGUGAUAACAGGUUUCCACCAUACAGAUGCUAAAAAGUUGGAAUCAAAGAAUUCAAACCAAUAGAUCACCUUUUAAACCUCAAAUGACGUUUCUAUGAUAUUGUGGGCAUUGUAUUCACACUAGAGGGUAUUAGAGUACAACUAGUGGAUGAAGACGUUAUUGGACUAGCUAAUGACCUUUUGUGAUACCUGGUUUCCAAUAAUCCCGUCUAUUCAUGGCAUCCAUAGACGGUGUUUUGUCCACUCAAGUAAAACCCACAUCAAUUUGCCACAUCAUUUCUCAAAAUAAAUAAAGACUAUGGAAAUUUAGCUAAAUUUCGUGAGUGAACUGUCCAAACAUAGGUUAAGGUUAUAAGGCACCUUUUUCCACCAUACAGUUGAUAAAAAGUUGUAAUAUAAAGAAUUCAAAACAAUAGGUCACCUUUUAAACCUCAAAUGACGUUUCUAUGAUAUUGUGGGCAUUGUAUUCACACUAGAGGGUAUUAGAGUACAACUAGUGGAUGAAGACGUUAUUGGGCUAGCUAAUGACCUUUUGUGAUACUGGUUUCCAAUAAUCCCGUCUAUUCAUGGCAUCCUUAGAUGGUGCUUAAGUCCACUCAAGUAAAACCACACAAAAAUAGUGUUUCUAUGAUAUUGAGGGCAUUGUAUUCGCACGAGAGGGUAUUAGAGUACAACUAGUGGAUGAAGACAUUAGUGGGCUAGCUAAUGACCUUUUGUGAUAAUAUGUUCACUAUAAUCCCGUCUAUUCAUGGCAUCCUUAGAUUGUGUUUAUGUCCACUCAAGUAAAACACCACACAUCAAUAUACCACAUCGUUU
RNAcentral lists this long non-coding RNA (1606 nucleotides) under Zea mays. RNAcentral's name for it is "long non-coding RNA (ZMAY_LNC005728)". Lineage: Eukaryota; Viridiplantae; Streptophyta; Magnoliopsida; Poales; Poaceae. The record is from RNAcentral.